Molecule: ribosomal RNA, 468 nt
Filed under: uncultured bacterium
Lineage: Bacteria
Description: partial 16S ribosomal RNA
Rfam family: Bacterial small subunit ribosomal RNA
Source: RNAcentral
GACGAACGCUGGCGGCGUGCUUAACACAUGCAAGUCGAACGGAAAGGCCCUGCUUUUGUGGGGUGCUCGAGUGGCGAACGGGUGAGUAACACGUGAGUAACCUGCCCUUGACUUUGGGAUAACUUCAGGAAACUGGGGCUAAUACCGGAUAGGAGCUCCUGCUGCAUGGUGGGGGUUGGAAAGUUUCGGCGGUUGGGGAUGGACUCGCGGCUUAUCAGCUUGUUGGUGGGGUAGUGGCUUACCAAGGCUUUGACGGGUAGCCGGCCUGAGAGGGUGACCGGCCACAUUGGGACUGAGAUACGGCCCAGACUCCUACGGGAGGCAGCAGUGGGGAAUAUUGCACAAUGGGCGGAAGCCUGAUGCAGCAACGCCGCGUGCGGGAUGACGGCCUUCGGGUUGUAACCCGCUUUCGCCUGUGACGAAGCGUGAGUGACGGUAAUGGGUAAAGAAGCACCGGAUAACUACGUG